GUGCCAGCCGCCGCGGUAAUACAGAGGGUGCAAGCGUUAAUCGGAAUUACUGGGCGUAAAGCGCACGUAGGCGGUUGGUUAAGUUGGAUGUGAAAGCCCCGGGCUCAACCUGGGAAUUGCAUUCAAAACUGGCCAACUAGAAUACGGGAGAGGGGGGUAGAAUUCCAAGUGUAGCGGUGAAAUGCGUAGAGAUUUGGAGGAAUACCAGUGGCGAAGGCGGCCCCCUGGCCCGAUAUUGACGCUGAGGUGCGAAAGCGUGGGGAGCAAACAGGAUUAGAUACCCGCGUAGUCC
This 292-nucleotide ribosomal RNA is filed under the name uncultured bacterium. RNAcentral describes it as "partial 16S ribosomal RNA". It matches the Rfam family "Bacterial small subunit ribosomal RNA", at positions 505 to 796 of the family's 1533-position model. The record is from RNAcentral.